This 811-nucleotide ribosomal RNA is filed under the name uncultured bacterium. RNAcentral describes it as "bacterial SSU rRNA". It matches the Rfam family "Bacterial small subunit ribosomal RNA", at positions 8 to 796 of the family's 1533-position model. The record is from RNAcentral.
AGAGUUUGAUCAUGGCUCAGAAUGAACGCUGGCGGCGUGCUUAACACAUGCAAGUCGAACGGGACUGAGGGGGCAACUCCUCGGUUGAGUGGCGGACGGGUGAGUAACACGUGGGUAACCUGCCCGGAAGUGGGGAAUACCUCGGGGAAACUCGAGCUAAUACCGCAUGACAUCUUCGGGACGAGAGUCCUGUUGAUCAAAGCGGGGUCGCAAGAUCUCGCGCUACCGGAUGGGCCCGCGCCCGAUUAGCUAGUUGGUGAGGUAACGGCUCACCAAGGCUUCGAUCGGUAGCCGGCCUGAGAGGGUGAUCGGCCACACCGGAACUGAGACACGGUCCGGACUCCUACGGGAGGCAGCAGUGGGGAAUCUUGCGCAAUGGGCGAAAGCCUGACGCAGCAACGCCGCGUGGAGGAUGAAGGCCCUUGGGUUGUAAACUCCUGUCGGCUGGGAAGAAAUCGUGCGGGGCUAAUACCUCCGCGCGUUGACUGUACCAGCAAAGGAAGCCCCGGCUAACUCUGUGCCAGCAGCCGCGGUAAUACAGAGGGGGCCAGCGUUAUUCGGAAUUAUUGGGCGUAAAGGGCGCGUAGGCGGCCACGCGUGUCUUUCGUGAAAUCCCUCGGCUUAACUGAGGACGUGCGGAAGAAACUGCGAGGCUCGAGUCCGGGGAGAGGGGGGGUGGAAUUCCCAGUGUAGCGGUGAAAUGCGUAGAUAUUGGGAGGAACACCGGUGGCGAAGGCGGCCCCCUGGACCGGUACUGACGCUGAUGCGCGAAAGCGUGGGGAGCAAACGGGAUUAGAUACCCCAGUAGUCC